ACUCCUACGGGAGGCAGCAGUGGGGAAUAUUGCACAAUGGGGGAACCGUAGCAUGCAGCCAUGCCGCGUGUGUGAAGAAGGCCUUCGGGUUGUAAAAGCACUUUCAGUAGGGAGGAAGGUAGUGUAGUUAACACCUGCAUUAUUUGACGUUACCUACAGAAGAAGCACCGGCUAACUCCGUGCCAGCAGCCGCGGUAAUACGGAGGGUGCGAGCGUUAAUCGGAAUUACUGGGCGUAAAGCGCAUGCAGGCGGCCUGUUAAGUCAGAUGUGAAAGCCCGGGGCUUAACCUCGGAAUUGCAUUUGAAAC
Molecule: ribosomal RNA, 308 nt
Filed under: uncultured bacterium
Lineage: Bacteria
Description: bacterial SSU rRNA
Rfam family: Bacterial small subunit ribosomal RNA
Source: RNAcentral